RNAcentral lists this ribosomal RNA (301 nucleotides) under uncultured bacterium. Its description in RNAcentral is "partial 16S ribosomal RNA". It matches the Rfam family "Bacterial small subunit ribosomal RNA", at positions 509 to 807 of the family's 1533-position model. The record is from RNAcentral.
CAGCCGCCGCGGGAAUACGUAGGGUGCAAGCGUUAAUCGGAAUUACUGGGCGUAAAGCGUGCGCAGGCGGUUCUAUAAGACAGAUGUGAAAUCCCCGGGCUCAACCUGGGAACUGCAUUUGUGACUGUAGAGCUGGAGUACGGCAGAGGGGGAUGGAAUUCCGCGUGUAGCAGUGAAAUGCGUAGAUAUGCGGAGGAACACCGAUGGCGAAGGCAAUCCCCUGGGCCUGUACUGACGCUCAUGCACGAAAGCGUGGGGAGCAAACAGGAUUAGAUACCCCCGUAGUCCCUGUCUCUUAUAC